RNAcentral lists this ribosomal RNA (253 nucleotides) under uncultured bacterium. RNAcentral describes it as "partial 16S ribosomal RNA". It matches the Rfam family "Bacterial small subunit ribosomal RNA", at positions 524 to 776 of the family's 1533-position model. The record is from RNAcentral.
GACGGAGGGUGCAAGCGUUGUUCGGAUUUACUGGGCGUAAAGGGCGCGUAGGCGGCGCAACAAGUCACUUGUGAAAUCUCCGGGCUUAACCCGGAGCGGGCAAGUGAUACUGUCGUGCUAGAGUGCGGAAGGGGCUACUGGAAUUCUCGGUGUAGCGGUGAAAUGCGUAGAUAUCGAGAGGAACACCUGCGGCGAAGGCGGGUAGCUGGGCCGACACUGACGCUGAGGCGCGAAAGCCAGGGGAGCGAACGGG